This 68-nucleotide transfer RNA is filed under the name Mauritia arabica. RNAcentral describes it as "tRNA-Lys". The record is from RNAcentral. Lineage: Eukaryota; Metazoa; Mollusca; Gastropoda; Littorinimorpha; Cypraeidae. RNAcentral also lists the same sequence under 1 other name.
UCUUAGAUGACUGAGUUAUAAGUGCUAGACUUUUAAUCUAGACACGGCUGAGUUUUAGCCUCUAAGAA